Molecule: non-coding RNA, 276 nt
Organism: Vicia faba (fava bean)
Lineage: Eukaryota; Viridiplantae; Streptophyta; Magnoliopsida; Fabales; Fabaceae
Source: the annotation of a GenBank genome assembly
AUGACCAUUAUGUUAAUCGGAAACAAGUCAGAUGUUACUAAGAAGCGCAUUGUAAUUAUUCAAGAAGGUGAGAAGUUCGCGAAGGAGAAUGGUUUAAUCUUCAUGGAGGUUUCGGCAAAAAGUGCAGAAAAUGUUGAAGCAGCAUUCUUAAAAACAGCUGGAUCAAUAUAUAAGAAGAUUGAAGAUGGAGAAAUUGAUGUGUUGAAUGAGAAACAUGGAAUCAAAAUUGGAUAUAGUAGUAAACUUUCUAUUUUUAGUGGAAGGUGCUGCACUUGA